ACGAACGCUGGCGGCGUGCUUAACACAUGCAAGUCGAACGGAAAGGCCCUGCUUGCAGGGUACUCGAGUGGCGAACGGGUGAGUAACACGUGGGUGAUCUGCCCUGCACUUCGGGAUAAGCCUGGGAAACUGGGUCUAAUACCGGAUAGGAGCCAUUUUUAGUGUGAUGGUUGGAAAGUUUUUUCGGUGUAGGAUGAGCUCGCGGCCUAUCAGCUUGUUGGUGGGGUAAUGGCCUACCAAGGCGGCGACGGGUAGCCGGCCUGAGAGGGUGGACGGCCACAUUGGGACUGAGAUACGGCCCAGACUCCUACGGGAGGCAGCAGUGGGGAAUAUUGCACAAUGGGCGCAAGCCUGAUGCAGCGACGCCGCGUGGGGGAUGACGGCCUUCGGGUUGGAAACUCCUUUCGCUAGGGACGAAGCUUUUUGUGACGGUACCUAGAGAAGAAGCACCGGCUAACUACGUG
RNAcentral lists this ribosomal RNA (464 nucleotides) under uncultured bacterium. RNAcentral's name for it is "partial 16S ribosomal RNA". It matches the Rfam family "Bacterial small subunit ribosomal RNA", at positions 29 to 507 of the family's 1533-position model. The record is from RNAcentral.